This 300-nucleotide ribosomal RNA is filed under the name uncultured eukaryote. RNAcentral's name for it is "SSU rRNA". It matches the Rfam family "Eukaryotic small subunit ribosomal RNA", at positions 587 to 892 of the family's 1831-position model. The record is from RNAcentral.
AGCUCCAAUAGCGUAUAUUAAAGUUGUUGCGGUUAAAAAGCUCGUAGUUGGAGUUCUGCCAGGUGCCGCCUGUCCGCCCCAGUGGUGAGUACGUGGCGCGCAUUUGGCCCUUUCAAGGGGAGCGUAUUGCACUUAACUGUGUGGUGCGGGAUCCUUGACUUUUACUUUGAGGAAAUAAGAGUGUUCCAAGCAGGCUCUCGUCGUGCAUAGCUCAGCAUGGAAUAAUAGCAUUGGAUCUCGAUUCCAAACUGUUGGUUGUAGGAAACGAGAUAAUGAUGAAGAGGGAUAGGUUGGGGGGCA